RNAcentral lists this ribosomal RNA (199 nucleotides) under uncultured bacterium. RNAcentral describes it as "partial 16S ribosomal RNA". It matches the Rfam family "Bacterial small subunit ribosomal RNA", at positions 328 to 539 of the family's 1533-position model. The record is from RNAcentral.
ACGCUCGACACCUACUGGAGGCAGCAGUGGGGAAUAUUGCACAAUGGGGGAAACCCUGAUGCAGCGACGCCGCGUGGAGGAAGAAGGUCUUCGGAUUGUAAACUCCUGUUGUUGGGGAAAAAGAGGAUGGUACCCAACAAGGAAGUGACGGCUAACUACGUGCCUAGCAGCCGCGGUAAUCUGAGCGGGCUGGCAAGGC